UCAAUGUGUUAAUGACAUUCAUUGCUUAUGCGAGUUGUUGUUCAAACUUUGCUUGAACAUCCACAUUUUUCUGCUGAAACUCCACAUUCUUUUUCUGAGCAUCCUCAUAUUUUUGCUGAACAUCCUCAUAUUUUUGUUGAAUAUCCUCAUAUUGUUCGCGUUGCGUCUCAACCAACUUCUUCAAAUUCUCAAUCUCGACUUUUGUCUCAGCAUUAUUAUCCUCGUAUUGUUCGCGAUGCAUUUCAGAAGAUCCUUUACUAGAACGAAUGCGCUUUCCAUAUGAGCCAAAUCCAUAUAAUCUCUUUUUUCGAUCGUGUCCCCCAACAACAUCAUAAAAUAGUUUGUCCUCAUCAAUUUCCUCUCCUAUUGCUUCCAACCGAUCACAUCGUUCCUUAAAAUCAUCCUAUAAUUUUAUAAUUGUGUUGAGAUAAAACUUAUACAAAAAAAAUAUCAAAAUAAAAUUUACAUGAAAUUAUUAAAAAUAAAACUUACAUGAAUUUUUUUAGCUUUGUCAACUAAAAAAGUCACUCCAUCGUGAUUCUUAGUGUGUGUAUACAAGAAUAGUUCAUGGUGUGCCGGAUCAUGUCCCCAAAGCUUCUUCUACAUAUAUACAAAAAAAAAUCAAUAUUAAAGUAGAUUGCUAUUUUUACAUUUAGGCUUAUAUAUUUAAAAAUGAAAAAAUAGCAACUUACUUUUGGGCUAAACCCAUUUAAAAAUCAAAAUGGAACUAGAUUGUUAUGAUAUAAAAGUAAAUGAAAGUAGAUUGCUAUUUUUUGCAUUUAGGCUCCACUCUUUAAAAAUGAAAAAUAAAAUAACAUACUUUUUAGGAUUAGUCCUCUUAAAAAUCAAAAUGGAACUAGAAAAACUAUAACAUACAACUAAAUGAAAGUACAUUGCUAUUUUAUGUAUUUAUGCUUAGUCCUUUUAAAAAUAAAAAUGGAACUAGAAUGCUAUAAUAUAAAACUAAAAGAAAGUAGAUUGCUAUUUUAUGCAUUUAGGCUGAGUCCUUAUAAAAAUCAAAAUAGAACUAGAUAAAAUUAAAUGAAAGUAGAUUGAUAUAAUAUAAAAUUAAAUGAGUACUUACUAAAUCAGAAGCAAUCUUGGAAUGAGA
This 1111-nucleotide long non-coding RNA is filed under the name Lactuca sativa (garden lettuce). RNAcentral describes it as "long non-coding RNA (LSAT_LNC006627)". Lineage: Eukaryota; Viridiplantae; Streptophyta; Magnoliopsida; Asterales; Asteraceae. The record is from RNAcentral.